RNAcentral lists this ribosomal RNA (429 nucleotides) under uncultured bacterium. RNAcentral's name for it is "bacterial SSU rRNA". It matches the Rfam family "Bacterial small subunit ribosomal RNA", at positions 355 to 796 of the family's 1533-position model. The record is from RNAcentral.
UGGGGAAUCUUGCACAAUGGGCGAAAGCCUGAUGCAGCGACGCCGCGUGAGGGAUGACGGCCUUCGGGUUGUAAACCUCUUUCGCCCGGGACGAAGCGAGAGUGACGGUACCGGGAGAAGAAGCACCGGCUAACUACGUGCCAGCAGCCGCGGUAAUACGUAGGGUGCGAGCGUUGUCCGGAAUUAUUGGGCGUAAAGAGCUCGUAGGCGGUUUGUUGCGUCGGCCGUGAAAACUUGGGGCUUAACUCCGAGCUUGCGGUCGAUACGGGCAGACUUGAGUUCGGCAGGGGAGACUGGAAUUCCUGGUGUAGCGGUGAAAUGCGCAGAUAUCAGGAGGAACACCGGUGGCGAAGGCGGGUCUCUGGGCCGAUACUGACGCUGAGGAGCGAAAGCGUGGGGAGCGAACAGGAUUAGAUACCCGGGUAGUCC